UACGUAGGGUGCAAGCGUUAAUCGGAAUUACUGGGCGUAAAGCGUGCGCAGGCGGUUUUGUAAGUCUGUCGUGAAAUCCCCGGGCUCAACCUGGGAAUUGCGAUGGAGACUGCAAGGCUAGAAUCUGGCAGAGGGGGUAGAAUUCCACGUGUAGCAGUGAAAUGCGUAGAGAUGCGGAGGAACACCGAUGGCGAAGGCAGCCCCCUGGGCUAGCACUGACGCUCAGGCACGAAAGCGUGGGGAGCAACAGGG
This 252-nucleotide ribosomal RNA is filed under the name uncultured bacterium. RNAcentral's name for it is "partial 16S ribosomal RNA". It matches the Rfam family "Bacterial small subunit ribosomal RNA", at positions 524 to 776 of the family's 1533-position model. The record is from RNAcentral.